This 487-nucleotide ribosomal RNA is filed under the name uncultured bacterium. RNAcentral describes it as "bacterial SSU rRNA". It matches the Rfam family "Bacterial small subunit ribosomal RNA", at positions 28 to 526 of the family's 1533-position model. The record is from RNAcentral.
GACGAACGCUGGCGGCGUGCUUAACACAUGCAAGUGGUGCGACGAACCAGGGCUUGCCCUGGGGCAAAGCCGCGAACGGGUGAGUAACACGUGAGUAAUCUGCCCCGAUGACCGGGACAACCCGAGGAAACUCGGGCUAAUACCGGAUGUGGUGCACAGGCGUAAGCCUGUUCACUAAAGGAAGCUUCGGCCUCCGCAUUGGGAGGAGCUCGCGGCCCAUUAGCUUGUUGGUGGGGUAACGGCCUACCAAGGCAACGAUGGGUAGCUGGUCUGAGAGGACGAUCAGCCACACUGGGACUGAGACACGGCCCAGACUCCUACGGGAGGCAGCAGUGGGGAAUCUUGCGCAAUGCGCGAAAGCGUGACGCAGCAACGCCGCGUGGGGGAAGACGGCCUUAGGGUUGUAAAGCUCUUUCAGCUGGGAAGAUAAUGACGGUACCAGCAGAAGAAGCCCCGGCUAACUCCGUGCCAGCAGCCGCAGUAAAAC